Molecule: long non-coding RNA, 931 nt
Organism: Columba livia (rock pigeon)
Lineage: Eukaryota; Metazoa; Chordata; Aves; Columbiformes; Columbidae
Exons: 3
Source: RefSeq, a predicted model, not a curated record
GGAAAACUUAUCAGUCUUUCUUGGCUACCAUAGUAAUAAAUCCAAACAUGAGCUUCUUGAGCAUUCCGUUGGUCUUCUUAUCAGCACCGAGUACAGCAUCUGAGGAAAAAAUAUGCAGGCUAAAACUCAGAAGACUACAGCCACCUAGAAGAACUUACCUGAAAGAAAAAUCACUAAAAGAGAACUGGUCUUGUUUUUAACAAAACCAGGACAGGGAUCAGCUGUUUGGGACCGGGUGCUGCUUGCUGGGACUGGCUACUCAAUGUGGAUGGAGUUCAUGAAGGAUUGCCUUGAGAAUUGUGGAGGGGUUUUGAUAGAUAAAGAUUUGUUGCUGAAUUAGUCAGGCUCAAAGGAAUCUCAAAGCCUCUUAGAGAAGCUGAGAUCAGAGUCUGCUGUGAGAAAGAGAGGCGUUCCUAAAUCACCGGGGUCCUGGCGUGGCGUGAAUCAUCAGACGUAUCAUCACUGAGACUCCAGCACAAAGGGAUUUUCAGGAUUGAAGAAGAAAGAUCAGCACAUUUUUGUGUGACUUCACUGUCCUCAGCAUGUGGAGCAACCAGCAGUGGGUUCCCAUGCAAAGGUGGGGCGCCUUCCCCAGUUGGCUCACUGACCAGCUGUGUCAGGAAUUUGUACACUCCAGGAGUCUCCUAGACUGUUUCCUCUCUGCUGUGUAUUUCCAUCAGACAUCUGGUAAGUUGAAGUCCCCAGUGAGAACAAGGGCUAGUGAUCACGAGACUUCCCCCAGCUGCCUGCAGAAUAUUUCGUCUGCCUCUUAAUCCUGGUUCAGUGGUCUGUAAGAGACUCCCACCAGGAUAUCUGCCUUGUUGGUCUUCCCCCUGAUCCUUACCCAUAAACACUCAACCCUAUUGUCAUCAUCAUUAAGCUCUAGACAAUCAAAACACUCCCUAACAUACACGGCUACCCCACCUCCUCU